Non-coding RNA from Oryctolagus cuniculus (rabbit), 719 nucleotides. The record is from RefSeq and is a predicted model, not a curated record. NCBI's taxonomy places the organism in Eukaryota, Metazoa, Chordata, Mammalia, Lagomorpha, Leporidae.
CUGGGAGCUCGGCCUCCUGCACAGCUUCUGGGAACUUGAAUGGUGACAGGCUUGCUGUGGAAGGAGCAGAAAGGAACUAGGAAGAAGGAUUUGUCUUUAGCAACUUCCUGAGUGCAUCUGGCUUCCUCUGGGAGGGAAGUGGGAAGGCCAGGUCCUCAAUUACUGCUGAUGCUACAGUGAUGAAUAAGCGAGCAAAGCACUAUCCAUGGGGAUCUGCAGCAACAACUACUAAUUAGUUACUAUUGCAGAGCAGGCUACAUGUGAGGUCUACAGCAUGCAACCACUUGUUGGUUUAGCCAGCAACCAAACCAGAAAGGAUGUGGACAGACCUUAUUCUCCAGCAGAGGGCAGUGCCACAUAUAAAUUACUAAAAAAGGGAGAAAAAGAUGACAUGGGCAUCAGGAAGAUGAUGAACUCUACAAAGCAGUGUAGCCUGGGUGAGAGGACACAGACAUGGAACCAAGCAGAAACACUGUGUGAACAACAUUUUCCGAUGGGAAAGAUGUGGGGAAGGUUGCACCUCCAAAGUAAAACAAGCUAUGGCAUUAACUAUGGGAGGAAAUUCAUAAAUCAUACAGGAUGCUGUUUCCUUCUUCCAGCUAAGCCUUACAAAGACUGACUGUUCUGCCCUGACCAGAGGAGCUUCUCCCAUUUUGUAGACUAGAUACUGCCUGGUUUGUGAGCUGCUAAUAAAAGCCAAUUCGAACUUUAAAAUGCAA